CGGGUGGUAAUGCCGGAUGCUCCGGUUGGAUGCAUGUCCUUCCGGGAAAGGUUCCAUCGGUAUGGGAUGGGGUCGCGUCCUAUCAGCUUGAUGGCGGGGUAACGGCCCACCAUGGCUUCGACGGGUAGCCGGCCUGAGAGGGCGACCGGCCACAUUGGGACUGAGAUACGGCCCAGACUCCUACGGGAGGCAGCAGUGGGGAAUAUUGCACAAUGGGCGCAAGCCUGAUGCAGCGACGCCGCGUGCGGGAUGGAGGCCUUCGGGUUGUAAACCGCUUUUGAUCGGGAGCAAGCCCUUCGGGGUGAGUGUACCUUUCGAAUAAGCACCGGCUAACUACGUGCCAGCAGCCGCGGUAAUACGUAGGGUGCAAGCGUUAUCCGGAAUUAUUGGGCGUAAAGGGCUCGUAGGCGGUUCGUCGCGUCCGGUGUGAAAGCCCAUCGCUUAACGGUGGGUCUGCGCCGGGUACGGGCGGGCUGGAGUGCGGUAGGGGAGACUGGAAUUCCCGGUGUAACGGUGGAAUGUGUA
Molecule: ribosomal RNA, 525 nt
Filed under: Bifidobacterium dentium
Lineage: Bacteria; Bacillati; Actinomycetota; Actinomycetes; Bifidobacteriales; Bifidobacteriaceae
Description: bacterial SSU rRNA
Rfam family: Bacterial small subunit ribosomal RNA
Source: RNAcentral